RNAcentral lists this ribosomal RNA (529 nucleotides) under uncultured bacterium. Its description in RNAcentral is "bacterial SSU rRNA". It matches the Rfam family "Bacterial small subunit ribosomal RNA", at positions 979 to 1509 of the family's 1533-position model. The record is from RNAcentral.
CCUUGACAUCCAGAGAACUUAGCAGNGAUGCUUUGGUGCCUUCGGGAACUCUGAGACAGGUGCUGCAUGGCUGUCGUCAGCUCGUGUUGUGAAAUGUUGGGUUAAGUCCGCAACGAGCGCAACCCUUAUCCUUUGUUGCCAGCGGUUCGGCCGGGAACUCAAAGGAGACUGCCGGUGAUAAACCGGAGGAAGGUGGGGAUGACGUCAAGUCAUCAUGGCCCUUACGGCCAGGGCUACACACGUGCUACAAUGGCGCAUACAAAGAGAAGCGACCUCGCGAGAGCAAGCGGACCUCAUAAAGUGCGUCGUAGUCCGGAUUGGAGUCUGCAACUCGACUCCAUGAAGUCGGAAUCGCUAGUAAUCGUAGAUCAGAAUGCUACGGUGAAUACGUUCCCGGGCCUUGUACACACCGCCCGUCACACCAUGGGAGUGGGUUGCAAAAGAAGUAGGUAGCUUAACCUUCGGGAGGGCGCUUACCACUUUGUGAUUCAUGACUGGGGUGAAGUCGUAACAAGGUAGGCGUACGUGU